This is a non-coding RNA of Streptomyces sp. CB03911, 75 nucleotides long. Lineage: Bacteria; Bacillati; Actinomycetota; Actinomycetes; Kitasatosporales; Streptomycetaceae. The record is from Rfam.
CUUCAACGACCCCAACCACAACGGCCGCCCCUCCGCACGACCCCGCCCGUACGUCGACAGCAGCGCCUGCGCCUC